AUUGAACGCUGGCGGCAGGCUUAACACAUGCAAGUCGAGCGGGGGAAGGUAGCUUGCUACCGGACCUAGCGGCGGACGGGUGAGUAAUGCUUAGGAAUCUGCCUAUUAGUGGGGGACAACAUCUCGAAAGGGAUGCUAAUACCGCAUACGACCUACGGGAGAAAGCAGGGGAUCUUCGGACCUUGCGCUAAUAGAUGAGCCUAAGUCGGAUUAGCUAGUUGGUGGGGUAAAGGCCUACCAAGGCGACGAUCUGUAGCGGGUCUGAGAGGAUGAUCCGCCACACUGGGCCUGAGACACGGCCCAGACUCCUGCGGGAGGCAGCAGUGGGGAAUAUUGGACAAUGGGGGGAACCCUGAUCCAGCCAUGCCGCGUGUGUGAAGAAGGCCUUAUGGUUGUAAAGCACUUUAAGCGAGGAGGAGGCUACUGAGACUAAUACUCUUGGAUAGUGGACGUUACUCGCAGAAUAAGCACCGGCUAACUCUGUGCCAGCCGCCGCAGUAA
RNAcentral lists this ribosomal RNA (501 nucleotides) under uncultured bacterium. RNAcentral describes it as "partial 16S ribosomal RNA". It matches the Rfam family "Bacterial small subunit ribosomal RNA", at positions 30 to 523 of the family's 1533-position model. The record is from RNAcentral.